UCAAAAUCACUUUUGUAUGUCAACUAACGGUAAAUUGGAUAGAUUCCAUCCAAAAGGGCAUCAGAUGCAACGUUUUAAAAGAUUUAGGGCACGACUGUAAUAAAUGAAAGGAUAGAGAAAAUUCUGCUAAUAUUUAAAAGAUCUGGGGACUUCUACUGCAAUUAUCCCUAAAAUUUAUCCGAUCAUCUGGGUUAUAAAUAGGAUUAGUUUGGGGAUCAAUUUUUUGGAUUUAAGAAAGUUUACCUCUAGUAACGCAACUCGUGUCAAUUGUCAUCAGCAAGCUAUUGUCAAGUGCAGAGUACAAGUAUGAUUAAUUCGUCAGUCGACUCCCGUCACCAUCCUCUUCCUGGAGACCCUGUUGAAUAUUUGUUCAAAAUCAAUGAAAUGAUAAUGGACUAAUUGUUGGACUCAAUUGUGGAAUUGGUAGAAUAAAAAGAAAUUGAAAAUUUUGAUUUUUGCCUAUGCGUACGCACGGGCUUAUUUUUGUGUGUACGCGAGAUGUGCUUUGACAAAAUUAGAAUUGAUUUUACAUCUACUAUGUGUACCCACGGUUUAUACUAUGCGUACGCAUAGUAUUGAAAUAUAGCCGUUGGCUGAUUUUUCACUUUGAAAUUUGGGAGCCGUUUUGGAUUAAAAGUUGUCACUUUUCAUCUUGUUUUGGCAUCAUUUCGUAAUGUAUUGAUUGAGGCCUAUAAAUAGGUGAUGAAUGAUCAAUACAAACAUUAUUACAAACAAGAAAUACAUACAUUGUUCCACAAUUAAUCAAAUUCAUGCUAUAGCUCAUAUUCAUUUCUUCUUUAUUGUGUUCAUCAAGUUUUGGCGAAAAAAUUUCUCGUGCUUUGUUAUUUUCUGCAUCAAGACUUGUUAAAAUUUUUCAAACCAUUUGCCAUAACACCCUUAAGCAUCUGGAAAGAAAGCAAAUAUAGUUUGAGGACAAAGAUCUCGUGUUCAAGCCUCAAAUUCAUUCUUGACGUACUUCGUGAUUUCUAUUCAUUUUGUUUCCAUAAUUUUGUUGUUGUUUCUUCUCCAACCCCUUAUUUUCCAACAAUUUCAAACUAUAUUUUGCGAUUGAGAAUUAUACAAUUAUGGCAACCAUCAAACUCAUGAAUCAAGAUCUGGUUAGAUUGGAUCGUUUUGAUGGGACUAACUUCACGCGGUGGCAAGACAAGUUAAAAUUCCUCCUAAUGGCGUUGGAGAUUUUUUAUAUUCUUGAUUCAAAUUUGGCGUCUUUGCCGGAACCAACAAAUGGAGAAUUCGAAACGAUCAAAACCGAGAGACAAAAAGGCCAAGAAGAAGAAUUGAUUUGCCGUGGCCACAUCUUGAAUGCAUUGUCGGAUCGUUUGUAUGAUCAUAUACCAAUACAACUUCGGCGAAAGAAAUCUGGAAUGCAUUGGAAAGUAAGUACAAGGUGGAAGAAGAAGGUACAAAGAAAUUUUUGAUUUCUAAGUAUUUUGAUUUUAAAUUCUUAGAGAAUAUCUCUUUUCUUCCCCCAAGUGCAUGAGUUGCAAGUGAUUGUCAACAAAUUAAAGGCGGUAAAAAUUGAUAUACCAGAGACCUUUCAAGUGGGGACUAUAAUUGCCAAACUUCCCGGAACAUGGAAAGGGUAUCGGAAGAAGAUCAUGUAUAGUUCCGAAGAUUAUUCUUUGGAACAAUUGCAAAAGCAUCUUCGAAUCGAAGAGGAGUCGAGAAUACGUAAUAAAACUGAAAAUUCUCAUGAGGGCUUUUAAAGCAAAUGCUAUGGAAAAAAUAAAACCGUCGGCAAAAUCCAACAAAAGGAAGCCUUCUAGGAACUUUAACAAGUCCAAGAAGAAGACAAAAAGAGGUUGCUUUGUGUGUGAAAAAUCUGGUCACUAUGUCAAGGAUUGUAGGCACUGAAAAUAAAACAACUUUGAGGCCAAAGUGAAUUCCAUCCAAGAUGACAAAAUUGUGGCCACCAUAAGUGAAGUAAACGCAAUCAAAGGAAAUGUUCCGGGUGGUGGUAUGAUACUUGUGCUACAGUACAUGUAUCAUAUGAUAAAUUUUUGUUCAAAACUUAUCAAGAAGUGGAUGGAGAACAAAAGAUUCAAAUGGGUAACGAGAUGCAGUCUAAGGUGUUUGGAAAAGGAAAUGUAGACAUUAUCUUCACUUCUGGGAAAAUCGUUACUCUAACUAAUGUAUUACAUGUUCUGGAUAUGAAUAGGAACCUAGUUAGUGGCAAUCUCUUGGAAAAAUCGAGUAUCAAAUGUGUUUAUGAGUCCGGCAAACUUGUACUAUCAUUUAAUGAAAAAUUUGUUAGAAAAUGCUAUUCGUGUGAAGGAAUAGUCAAAUUAUGUACCAUUGACAAUGAAAUGAAUAAAAGUAAUUUUGCUUUAUGUAGUGAAUUUAUUUUCAUUAUGGCAUGCUAGAUUAGGUCAUGUUGGUAGAAAUACAAUGAAACGCAUGAAAAAAUAUGACUUGAUCUCAUAUGAUGAACAUAAAUACAAAAUAUGUGUAGAAUCUAAAAUGAUUAAAAAAUCAUAUCAAAGUGUUAAGAGAACUUCUAGUAUUUUAGAAUUAAUUCAUACUGAUAUAUGUGAACUUAAUGGUAUGUUAACUAGAGGUGGAAAUAAAUAUUUCAUAACUUUUAUAGAUGAUUUUUCUAGAUAUACUUACAUUUAUUUGAUAAAACAUAAAAGUGAAGUCUUUGAUAUGUUUAAAACAUACAAAAAUAACAUUGAAAAUUAUUUAGGAAAGAAAAUUAAAAAUUUAAGGAGUGAUAGAGGUGGUGGAUACUUUUCCAAUGAUUUUAAUUUGUUUUGUAAACAACAUGGAAUUAUUCAUUAAUGUUCUGCACCUAGGAUACCCGAACAAAACGGUUUGACUGAAAGAAAGAAUAGAACAUUUGUAGAAAUUAUAAAUGCCAUGCUUAUUUAUGCUAAGUUGCAAUUUAACUUGUGGGGUGAAAUUUUAUUAAGUGCAUGUAAAAUACUUAAUAGGAUUCCUUUGAAAUAUACUAAGGUUUCUCCUUAUAAAUUGUGGAAAGGAAGAAAAUAGAACAUUGGAUACUUCAAAGUGUGAGGGUGUCUUGCCUAUUGCAAGAACACGAAUCCUAAUAGGACCAAAUUGGGUCCAAAAGGCAUUAAAUGUGCCUUUGUUGGAUAUGUAAACAAUAGCAAAUCUUAUAGAUUACUAAAUUUGGAGUCCAAUGUGAUUAUCAAAUCCAACGAUGUAGAGUUCUUUGAGGAUUCGUUAUCUUCUGAUAAUGAAUUGAGGGAAAAUCUUGAAAAUAUUCCUAACUCAAGUGGAACACAUGAUGAAAUAUCUUCUAAAGAUGUUGAUGAGUCUAGUGAACCACGAAGAAGCAAGAGAACUCGAGUUGAAAAGUCUUUGGAACCGGAUGAAAUUGUCUAUCAACUUAUCUCCUUUUACUUAGUAGAGGGAAAUGAGUUGAAUGUUGUGAGAACAAAUCAUUUUGUUCUACAAGUUGAAACCAACCCUAAGACUUUUAAAGAAGCUAUGGCUUCUCGUGAUAGCACCUUUUGGAAAGAUACAAUUAAGGACGAAAUGAAUACGAUAAUAUCCAAUAAUACUUGGGAACUUGUUGAUUUACCACCGGGAUCCAAGCCUAUUGGAUGUAAAUGGGUAUUUAGGAGAAAAUACAAUGUUGAUGGAUCCUUAAAUACCUUCAAGGCUAGAUUAGUACCCAAAUGAUAUCGACGAAAGGAAGGAAUCGACUAUUUUGAUACUUAUGCACCGGUAGCUAGAAUAACAUCGAUUAGGAUAUUAUUCGCUUUGACUUCAAUAUAUGACUUGCAUGUACAUCAAAUGAAUGUUAAGACGACAUUCCUAAAUGGAGAUUUCGAUGGGGAGGUCUAUAUGGAACAACUUGAAGGGUUUGCUCUACCUGGAAAUGAACAUAAAGUGUGCAAGUUGGUAAAAUCUUUAUAUGGUCUAAAGCAAACACCAAAGAAAUGGCAUGAGAAGUUUGACUUGGCAAUAAUAUCAUUCGGGUUUAAACAUAAUAGCUUUGAUAAAUGUUUAUAUUCUAAAGUUUGUGAUGAUUAUGUGACAUUUAUAUGCUUGUAUGUUGACAAAAUGCUGAUUAUAAGUAAUCACAUGGAUGAAAUAGAAUAAACAAAGAGGUUUCUUUCUUCCACAUUCAAGAUGAAGGAUCUUGGACAAGUGGAUACCAUUUUAAGUUUCAAAGUCACAAAGACUAGUAGGGGUUACUAUUUAAGUCAAUUACAUUAUAUUGAGAAUGUGAUAAAUAAGUUCAAACAUUUGAACAUAAAAGAAUGUAAUACCCUGAUUGAUCCAAAUUCAAAACUAAUAAAGAAUGAUGGAAGGGUGAUUGCUCAAUUGGAAUAUGCAGGUGCUAUAGGGAAUCUUAUGUAUGUUGUUCAAUGCACAAGACCAGAUAUAGCUUAUGCAAUAAGUGAACUUAGUAGGUUUACUAGCAAUCCGAGUAAUAAUCAUUGGAAGGCUAUUGUGAGAGUUCUUGGAUACUUAAAGAAAACCAAGAACCUGGGCUUACAAUAUACUAAAUUUCCGGUGAUAUUGGAAGGAUUUACCGAUGCUAGUUGGAUAUCUAGCAUGGGUGAAAGUAAAUCCACUUCGGGUUGGGUAUUCAUUCUUGGAGGAGGUGCUGUUUCUUGGAUAAACAAACAUGUAUAACACACUCGACCAUGGAAUCUGAAUUUGUAGCUUUAUUAGAUACCGAAAAAGAGGCUGAGUGGCUUAAAGAUCUCUUAUAUGAGAUACCUUUGGGAUCGAAGAAUAUCUCUUCAAUACCUAUCAUGUGUGAUAGUCAAGCCACGUUAGCAAAUGCUAUACAAUGGAAAGUCUAGACAUAUGAGUCUGAGACAUGACUAUAUAAGGAAAUUAAUCAAAAAUGGAAUAAUUUCCCUAAAUUAUUAAGAAUUUAGCGGAUCCUUUAACUAAAACACUAAAUAUAGAUUUAGUGGCGUCUACUUCGAGUAGGAUGGGGUUGAAACUUCUUAACUAAAAAGGUCCACCAAUGACGGCAACCCUACCUGUCAUUACUCAAAAAGUAAUCCACGGGUUCAAAGGGUAACAACAAGUCAUUCGAUAUGUGGAUGGUUGCAGCAUUAUUCAAAUCCGCAAUGAACCUAUCCUAAUUAAAUAAUGCUGAUUGUUACUGAAGUGAAGGUUGAACUUAAAGCUCUUAAUGAAGUUCGGUGCUAAAACACAAGUACCUCUAAAAUUAACAAAGGUACAAGAAGAACUUCACCUAGACUAACUUCGAGGUGGUGACGCCUCAAUAGAGAGUUGGAGUUUCUCUCUUAAAAGUUUGUCGAAUAGGAUGAGUGCAAUGCCAUAAAAGCGCUAAGCGAGUUGAGGAACUUGAGAACAUGUGAUACAUAUGUACGUGUUCUUACUGGUAUCGUCAAAUGGAAUAAUUAGUUCAAAGCUUCCAUGCUACCUCUAAUUCCGACUUUACUUUGUUUGAAUUACACUAUGGUUAGAUUCAAAUCGAAAAAUUUCUAAUCCUUAUGCAUAAGUGUCAUCUUUUUGAAUACGUGAUCUUAUUGAUUUUGAACAAGUGGGGGUUGUUGAAUAUUUGUUCAAAAUCAAUGGAAUGAUAAUGGACUAAUUGUUGGACUCAAUUGUGGAAUUGGUAGAAUCAAAAGAAAUUAAAAAAUAAAAAGUUUGAUUUUUUCCUAUGCGUACGUAUAUGCUUAUUUUUGUGCGUACGCAAGAUGUGCUUUGAUAAAAUUAGAAUUGAUUUUGCUUCUAUUAUACGUACGCACGGUUUAUACUAUGCGCACGCAUAUUGUUAAAAUAUAGCCGUUAGCUGAUUUUUCAAUUUGAAACUUAGGAGCCGUUUUGGAUUAAAAGUUGCCACUUUUCAUCUUGUUUUGACACCAUUUCGUGAUGUAUUGAUUGAUGCCUAUAAAUAGGUGAUGAAUGAUCAAUACAAACAUUAUUACAAACAAGAAAUACAUAUAUUGUUUCACAAUUAAUCAAGUCCAUGCUAUAACUCAUAUUCAUUUCUUCUUUAUUGUGUUCAUCAAGUUUUGACGGAAAAAUUUCUCUUAUUUUGUUAUUUUCUGUAUCAAGGCUUGUUAAAAUCCUUCAAACCAUUUGCCAUAACAUCGUUAAACAUCUGGAGAGGGGACAAAUAUAGUUUAAGAACAACGAUCCCGUGUUCAAACCUCAAAUUUAUUCUUGACAUUCUUGACGUAUUUCGUAUUUUCUAUUCAUUUUAUUUCCAUAAUUUUGUUGUUGUUUCUUUCGCCAACCCCUUCCAACAGAUCCUCCCAAUAUUCAGCUGACCAGACCAACCAAACGUGCCCUCGCCGAAGCCCAGUGUCACUUCGCCGUUUUACCAGCCGCUCCCAUCUGACCCUCAAUCACCUGAAAACCUCCCACAACAUUCGAAUACGUCAUCGUAUAACCAUACCAUCGCCGCCACCGCCAUUCGUGCCUCCUCCACCGCCGUCUACUUUGCAUUGCCGCCGUUCUUCCCUUCCUCAUCGCCGCCAUCUACAUACUCUGGCCCUCCUACCCUAACCUCUCUAUCGUCCGCCUCCGGCUCGAGGGCCUCCAAUUCCAUACUCGCCCCAAAAUCUCCCUCGACAUCAAACUCGACCUCACCGUCAAGGUCCGGAACAGAGACUUUUACUCAAUUGAAUAUGACUCAUUAGCUGUCGCGAUCGUGUACAGAGGGGAUCGCCUGGGGUACGUCUCCUCGGACAACGGCUACGUCAGAGCUCGUGGGGAGUCUUAUGUUAACGCCACGCUCCAGUUAGAUGGAGUUGAGAUUUUGUCGGACGCGAUUCUGUUGCUGGAAGACCUAGCCAAGGGUUCGGUUCCGUUCGAUACCGUCACAGAGAUUGAUGGGAAGCUUGGAGUUUUCUUCUUCGACAUUCCUUUUAAGGUAAAUUUUGAUGGUUAAGAAAUACGAAAGAAUAUGAUCACUAAUUAUUUUUCAGAUUAGAAGGGUUGGUAUUAAUGCUAGUUCUAUAAAGUAGAACGGAUAAGAAUGAUGAAUGUUUCUUUACUCUUGAAGCUGCAUGUGAAAGAAUGGAGAAAAGCAAUUGAAGGGAAAUAAUAGGACUGCAAAGAUAGGCACUUAUGGCUUUAAUCAAUUUGUUUGGGAAGGGAUGCUAAAGGGUUGUGAAUGUUGAUAUCAAGGCAAUUUAGAAACUAGAGGGAAAUGUGGUCCUUUAUGAACAAAUUUUCUAGAGUUUGUCUUCCAUAGACAUGGUUGCUUUGAAGUCGUGACAGUCGAAAACAACCAAUUUAAUUUGCAGCUGUGACCACAAAACUAAGCAGUAAAAACGCAGAUAAAAGCAAAGGGAAACAAUCCAUACCAUUAGAUCCAUAGAACAAAUUUAAAUUCAUAAGAUAAUUAUGGUUAGCCAAGUGUGUUUAUGAGUUCAUUCACUUUGGAUAAUAGAUAUGAAGCGGCACUGUGUUUGAGCUCCAACUCUAGGUGUGUGCCAAAUAUCAUCACUAGGAGAGUUAUGACAGAAUUGACUUCAGUAGGGACUAGAGGCUUAGAGAAAAUGGUGUGAGCGAGAAUAGAGCUUCCAUUGGGGAACAUGUUUGGAGAUGAUUUAUGACCGAGUUCACCUGUGAGUCAGUGAUUGAGAACCUACGCAUGUGAGCAUAACAUCUUCUGUAAGCUUUGUUUAAUGUUUUGGACGAUGGAAUCUUAUGUAGUCCUUUGUCAGAAUUUUUUUUCUGCUUGCUCGCCUUUAUUUUCUGUUGUAAAUUUUCUGUUUCUAGUUGUUGUAAGGUAUUGUUUCUUUGCACUUGUAUGAUUUAGAAUCAAAGGUAAAUACACUGUUCUACUAGAAUGUCAUGUUUGCAAAUCUACUUACCCAAGGUAUUUUCACUCAUGAGAUGUUCCAUUUCUCCAUUCUAUCCCUCUGUACGCUCAUGCGUUUCUUCUUUUUUUGGUAUCCUGGCAUCAAAUCAUGGACAAAUCUGGAAUCGUUACUUAUUUAAAACUAGUGGAAUUAUAAUAUGGUGGCAUGGGUAUGCAUCCCCCACUCCCCACCAUCAGCUUCUAAGCUAUUUAAGAUCUUUUUUAAAUGUCAAUGUGCAGAUCAAAAUCAAAUUUGUCAGUUUCUCAUGGCUUCAUAAUUAUGAUCUUUACAGGCAAAAACAUAUGUGAAAUAAUUUUAAAUGCACACAACCAAACAAUUGAUCAUCAAAGCUGCCACCCUGAGGUAAAGUUCCAAUCUUCUGCUAGUUUUACCUUUCUUCUGGUUGAUCUGUCUUGCAUGUGAAUAAAAAUGGAAGGAAUUGGAGGUGAAGGAUAUGAAUUCUAUGUGAAAUUAAGAAAGUAAAAGAAGCUCAAAUCUUAUUCAUCAUACUGUUUAGUCUUGUCCAAUGCUGGCUCUUGGCCUACAAUUUGCUAGAAAUUGCACCAUCUAAAAGCCAACCUUUCUUUACCCUACCUCCGCUCUCCCCUCCAGGUGGACAGUUGUGAAAAAUAUAGUGAUAUACACACAAAUAAAAUGUAACAUUUUUAUAGUUGGAUAUUGACCUGCAUAUCUAAUUCCAAUUCAGUGAUGGAAUAUUGGACACUGCCCAAAAAUUUCUAAACAGAGCUAGGAGAUGAGGUUGUUCUUGCAGAUUGCCAAAUAGAGAACCUCGUGCUGCCCAGGUUAUUGAUACUUUAUUUUUGGAUUAUUACCCAUCUCUUUUCAUGUAUAUGGGGCAAACAUUUGUCUGGAUGUAAAUUAGUAUGCAUAUCGUAUGUAUGUAAGUUAUUUGGAUACAAGAAAUUGAGUAUGAAUAGAUGUAAAAUCUGUUAUAUUGUACACAGGCGUGCACACACGCGCGUACACAACCCCAUCCGGUACAAUGAAUUUCUUGAUCUUAUUCUUAUGGUGCACAAUGAACUGAAAUUAGGAUCCAGGUGGAGAGAUACAAAUUUUCAUAUAUAUGAUUUUAUGCAAAAACAUUACAGUGGAGGAAAUUCAUACAGUGGAAAUAUGAUCUAAUUUCUCCUUGUUUGCUAGGAUGAUGAAACAUAUGUAGUCUUACUAACUAGGUCUGUUUCCCGGACCUACCCACUCGCAUUCUGCAUGAUGAUAUCUACACCUGAACGAACCUGGGUGGUGCGUUGGUGAACACACGCAUCUUUUCAUUCCUCCACCACUGCCACUGUUAGCCCCAGCUGUAUUAACUGUUGCUUGCUGUCUUUCAACCUCUACCACAGCUGGUGGUGAUGGUGGUAUCACAGGAGAAACUACUCUCCCC
This 9198-nucleotide long non-coding RNA is filed under the name Olea europaea (common olive). Its description in RNAcentral is "long non-coding RNA (OEUR_LNC004571)". The record is from RNAcentral. Lineage: Eukaryota; Viridiplantae; Streptophyta; Magnoliopsida; Lamiales; Oleaceae.